Molecule: ribosomal RNA, 460 nt
Filed under: uncultured bacterium
Lineage: Bacteria
Description: partial 16S ribosomal RNA
Rfam family: Bacterial small subunit ribosomal RNA
Source: RNAcentral
CCUACGGGAGGCAGCAGUGAGGAAUAUUGGUCAAUGGACGCGAGCCUGAACCAGCCAAGUAGCGUGAAGGAUGACUGCCCUACGGGUUGUAAACUUCUUUUAUAAAGGAAUAAAGUGAGGCACGUGUGCCUUUUUGUAUGUAAUUUCUGAAUAAGGAUCGGCUAACUCCGUUACAGCAGCCGCGGUAAUACGUAGGAUCCGAGCGUUAUCCGGAUUUAUUGGGUUUAAAGGGAGCGUAGAUGGGUUGUUAAGUCAGUUGUGAAAGUUUGCGGCUCAACCGUAAAAUUGCAAUUGAUACUGGCAGCCUUGAGUACAGUUGAGGUAGGCGGAAUUCGUGGUGUAGCGGUGAAAUGCUUAGAUAUCACGAAGAACUCCGAUUGCGAAGGCAGCUUACUAAACUGCCACUGACAUUGAUGCUCGAAAGUGUGGGUAUCAAACAGGAUUAGAUACCCUUGUAGUC